This 388-nucleotide ribosomal RNA is filed under the name Ochromonas tuberculata. RNAcentral describes it as "partial small subunit ribosomal RNA". It matches the Rfam family "Eukaryotic small subunit ribosomal RNA", at positions 30 to 432 of the family's 1831-position model. The record is from RNAcentral. Lineage: Eukaryota; Chrysophyceae; Chromulinales; Chromulinaceae.
GCUUGUCUCAAAGAUUAAGCCAUGCAUGUCUAAGUACAAGCCUCAGUAAGGUGAAACUGCGAAUGGCUCAUUAUAUCAGUUAUAGUUUAUUUGAUGGUUCUUGCUACUUGGAUAACCGUAGUAAUUCUAGAGCUAAUACAUGCAUCAAACCCCGACUUCUGGAAGGGGUGUAUUUAUUAGAUGGAAACCAAUGCGGGGCAACCCGGAAUAUGGUGAUUCAUAAUAACUUUCGGAUCGAUUUAUCGAUGCAUCAUUCAAGUUUCUGCCCUAUCAGCUUUGGAUGGUAGGGUAUUGGCCUACCAUGGCUUUAACGGGUAACGGAGAAUUAGGGUUCGAUUCCGGAGAGGGAGCCUGAGAAAUGGCUACCACAUCCAAGGAAGGCAGCAGG